This is a non-coding RNA of Cyanistes caeruleus (blue tit), 392 nucleotides long. NCBI's taxonomy places the organism in Eukaryota, Metazoa, Chordata, Aves, Passeriformes, Paridae. The record is from RefSeq and is a predicted model, not a curated record.
GGCCCUGACAGCCUUUGUGUUCCCAGGGAUGACCGGGCGCUACCUGAGGGGACAGGAGGAAGAGCUCCAGCUGAUGUGCAAAGCCCUUGAAUACAUGACAGAAGACAUAAGCAGUGCCAUAUCAGACCUGGCACUGCAAACAUUAUAUUUCCUCCGGGCAAUACAGAGUAGGAGAUACUCCAUCUUCCAGCGGUUACAUGAUCAGCUCCUCAGAAUCUGGAAGGCACGGCCUCGUCUGUCGGGCCUUACCUGGCUGCACUGCUGGAGCUCUGCAGAGCCCUGAUCUGGAAGGCUGUCUGCUGGGCCCACCUGAUGCAGCAGGCAUUUUCCAGUUUUUCAAGACUAUUCCUCUUUUCUUUUUCCUAUAUAAAUAUAGGAUGUGUUAUAACACA